RNAcentral lists this long non-coding RNA (1404 nucleotides) under Equus caballus (horse). RNAcentral describes it as "lncRNA (ENSECAG00000054181.1)". The record is from RNAcentral. Lineage: Eukaryota; Metazoa; Chordata; Mammalia; Perissodactyla; Equidae.
GUUUAAUGAGGUGUUUCUUUUCUCAGGCACGUAAAUCACAGGUGGUUUGGCGUUUUGUAAAAGCCGUAUGCCUGGGUACCAUCCCAGACUUGAUUACUCAGCAGAUUCUGGAGUGUGGGAGUAUUUAUUGACAGCCCGGUCGGUGCCAUACCUCGCAAGAAGGAAAUAUUCUUGACUCUCUCUCCGCCAAAGCAGAUGGUCUUUGGCCUGGAGAGUUCACCAGGAUCACAUGGUAAAGAAGGGUCUCAAAGGAGAAGAACGGCCCAGUAAAGCCCUGGUAGCCAACCGUGUCGCCCCCACCGGCCUGCACCUGCACCUUCCCGUCACCCCAUGGGCCUUCUGCAGGGGUGCAGAGCAGACCCCAAACUGCGUGUCUCCCCAGGAAGAGGCCUCCGCAGGUUUUCCAGGAGCCCAGGUGAGGGAAGCUACAUGGCUCUAGAAGGACUGGAGGCCUCUCCUGCUGAGACCCAGCGUAGGACCAGGAAGAGCUGCAGGUGCCUGUGAGGACGGGGAGACGUCGCGCUCUUGUCGGGAGGAGAAGGGCCUCCAGGCCAGGGGCUCUGACUUUGUCCUGAUGCUCUUCCUCAUCUCCUGGGAUCCUGACCCAGAGGAGAGUUGAGAGGAGAAAAGGGAGGUCGAUUCAGAGCUCCCCUCUCCCCUGUCUGCAGCCUGUUGUGUCCUCAUCACCCUGGUUCAGGACGCCCUCUGCGAGCAGCCCUUUCUGAGUAGACUCUCCAUCCAGGGGCUCCUGCAGCACAGCCUCCUUAUCCCCACCUAUCACGUCAUGCUGUGACUUUUGGCUAUUUAUCCUUCUCUUCUGAGAAACUCUAUGUGCCUCGAGGGCGAAACCAUGUCUUAUUCAUUUCCCUGCGACGGAGCACAGUGUCUGGCACACAGUGUGCGGUGAAUCAGUGAAUGGAGCAGGAAUUUUCAGAGUCCCACCCACACGGCAUCACCCCCCCCCCGCCGUGGGUUUGUCCAGCUCACCUUCUUCACGGGAGCCCUGCAGCUCGGUAGGAACUUCUGGGUGCAGGCUUGGUGGGGCGGCCUUGUUUCCCUGGGCAACCUGCUUUCUCUUUCAGAAAGCGUUUCUCAUUUGCAGUUCUGGGGCCUGCAACUUUUGCCAUAUGUCGGUUGUCUCUGUCUUCAUGAUCCCAGCCAUAUUAAUGUUAUAAUUAGAGCCAGUAUUUAUACAGACUUUCUUCUGAGCAGCUCCUCGUGCUUUGCAAGAGUGAUUUACUUUAUCGUCCCUGCAUUUCUGGUUCAGGAUAUUAUUCCAUUUUCCUUUGGGGCAUAGAUUGGGAGAGAGAAGGGAAGAGAGGGACGUGAUGGAGACAGAAAAAUAAAAGGAGGAGCUGUCCCUCCGGAAGUAACCCUCCAGCUCCACGGGCCAGAGCAUCUCUG